RNAcentral lists this long non-coding RNA (403 nucleotides) under Triticum aestivum (bread wheat). Its description in RNAcentral is "long non-coding RNA (TAES_LNC003180)". Lineage: Eukaryota; Viridiplantae; Streptophyta; Magnoliopsida; Poales; Poaceae. The record is from RNAcentral.
UAGAUGUUGCUACUAGUUUUACCUGGAACUUGUUUCCUUCCCAUGUCUACCUAGCUCUUGGAUGUCUGUGGUUAGUUUCAGUUGCUACUAUGGAAGCUAAGACUUGAUGUCACUAGGCCUGGUUUCUUGUGAACAUGUUUUGAGUUUAAUCUGUGUUGAAUGCUUGAUAUGUGUACCUUAUCUCGUUGCUUAAUGUCAUACUGAUGAUUUGGCCCUUACUUUACUAGCAAAUUAUGGCCAUACUGAUGAUUUGGCCCUUACUUUACUAGCAACUUUAUUCGUACUUCAAAAUGCAUGUACUCUGCAGCACAAGUAAGCGCACAUUUUGCUAUGCAAAAGACAUCAGACGCUGCACUUAGGCCUAUCUUAUUCCAUCACACUAUUUCUAUUAUUCUGGCUGACG